RNAcentral lists this ribosomal RNA (253 nucleotides) under uncultured bacterium. RNAcentral's name for it is "partial 16S ribosomal RNA". It matches the Rfam family "Bacterial small subunit ribosomal RNA", at positions 524 to 776 of the family's 1533-position model. The record is from RNAcentral.
UACGUAGGGUGCGAGCGUUAAUCGGAAUUACUGGGUUUAAAGGGUGCGUAGGUGGGUUGGUAAGUCAGUGGUGAAAUCCCCGAGCUUAACUUGGGAACUGCCAUUGAUACUAUCAGUCUUGAAUACCGUGGAGGUUAGCGGAAUAUGUCAUGUAGCGGUGAAAUGCUUAGAUAUGACAUAGAACACCAAUUGCGAAGGCAGCUGGCUACACGAAUAUUGACACUGAGGCACGAAAGCGUGGGGAUCAAACAGG